GACGAACGCUGGCGGCGUGCUUAACACAUGCAAGUCGAACGGAAAGGCCCUGCUUUUUUGGGUUGUUCGAUGGCCGACGGGGGGUGAAACACGCGAGUAUCCCCCCCUUGCCUUUGGGAUAACUCCAGGAAACUGGGGCUAUACCCGGUUAGGAUCUCUUGCUCCAUGGGGGGGGUUGGAAAGUUUCGGCGGUGGGGGAUGGACUCGCGGCUUAUAAGCUUGUUGGUGGGGUAGUGGCUUACCAAGGCUUUGACGGGUAGCCGGCCUGAGAGGGUGACCGGCCACAUUGGGACUGAGAGACGGCCCAGACUCCUACGGGAGGCAGCAGUGGGGAAUAUUGCACAAUGGGCGGAAGCCUGAUGCAGCAACGCCGCGUGCGGGAUGACGGCCUUCGGGUUGUAAACCGCUUUCGCCUGUGACGAAGCGUGAGUGACGGUAAUGGGUAAAGAAGCACCGGCUAACUACGUG
Molecule: ribosomal RNA, 468 nt
Filed under: uncultured bacterium
Lineage: Bacteria
Description: partial 16S ribosomal RNA
Rfam family: Bacterial small subunit ribosomal RNA
Source: RNAcentral